UACCUAAUUGAUCUUGCCAGUAGUCAUAUGCUUCUCUCAAAGAUUAAGCCAUGUAUGUGCAAGUGUGAACUAAUUCAGACUGUGCAACUGCGAAUGGCUCAUUAAAUCAGUUCUAGUUUGUUUGAUGGUACAUGCUACUCGGAUAACCGUAGUAAUUCUAGAGCUAAUAUGUGCAAAAAAUCUUGACCUCUGGAAGGGAUGCAUUUAUUAGAUAACAGGCCAGUGUGGGCUUUGCCUGAUGCUUUGGUGAAUCAUGAUAACUCGAUGGAUCGCACAACCGUUGUGUUGGCAAUGCAUCAUUCAAAUUUCUACCCUAUCAACUUUCGAAGGUAGGAUAGGGGCCUACCAUGGUGGUGACAGGUGAGAGAGAAUUAGGGUGAGAUUCCGGAGAGGGACUAUGAGAAACGGCUACCACAUCCAAGGAAGGCAGCAAGCGCACAAAUUACCCAGUCCUGACACAAGGAGGUAGUGACAAUAAAUAAUAAUACCGGGCUUCAAGAGUCUGGUAAUUGGAAUGAGUACAAUAUAAACCCCUUAACGAGGAUCCAUUAGAGGGAAAGUCAGGUGUCAGUAGCCACGGUAAUUCCAACUCCAAUCGCGUAUAUUUAAGUUGUCGCAAAUAAAAAGCUCGUAGUUGGAUCUUGGGCUGGGCCGACUAGUCCGCCUUCAUGGUGUGCACCGACCGUCCCGUCCCUUCACCCGGCGAUGCGUUCCUGACCUUAACUGGCUUGGUCUUGCCUUCAGCACUGUUACUUUGAAGAAAUUAGAGUGCUCAAAGCAAGCGUAAGCUUUGAAUACCAUAGCAUGGGAUAACAUCACAAGAUUUCGUUCCUAUUGUGGUAGCCUUCGAGAUCAGAGUAAUGAUUAAGAGGGACAGUCGGGGGCAUUCGUAUUUCAUAGUCAGAGGUGAAAUUCUUGGAUUUAUGAAAGAUGAACCACUGCGAAAGCAUCUGCCAAUGUUGUUUUCAUUACUCAAGAACAAAAGUUGGGGGAUCGAAGAUGAUCAGAUACUGUCCUAGUCUCAACCAUAAACGAUGUCGACCUGGGAUUGGCAUAUGUUGCUCUUAGGACUCCAUCGGCACCUUAUGAUAAAUCAAAGUCUUUGGGUUCCAGGGGGAAUAUGGUCGCAACGCUGAAACUUAAAGGAAUUGAUGGAAGGGCACCACAAGGAGUGGAACCUACGGCUUAAUUUGAAUCAACAAGGGGAAACUUACCAGGUCCAAACAAAGUAAGGAUUGCUAAAGUGAGAGCUCUUUCUUGAUUCUAUGGGUGGUGGUGUAUGGCCGUUCUUAGUUGGUGGAGAGAUUUGUCUGGUUAAUUCUGUUAACAAAAGAGACCUCAACCUACUAACUAGCUACGUGGAGGUAUCCUCCACAGCCAGCUUCUUAGAGGGGCUAUGACCGUUUAGGCCACGGAAGUUUGAGGCACUAGCAGGUCUGUGAUGCCCUUAGAUGUUCUAGGCCACACGCACGCUACAUUGAUGUAUUCAACGAGUAUAUAGCCAUGACCAACAGGCCUGGGUAAUCUAUUGAAAUUUCAUCAUGAUUGGGAUAGAUCAUUGCAAUUGUUGGUCUUCAACAAGGAAUUCCUAGUAAGCGUGAGUCAUCAGCUCGCGUUGAGUACAUCUCUGCCCUUUGUACACACCACCGGUCUCUCCUACUGAUUGAAUGGUCCGGUGAAGUGUAAGGAUCUCGACGACGAAGGCGGUCUGCCACUGGCGAUGUCGCGAGAAGUCCACUGAACCCUAUCAUUUAGAGGAAGGAGAAGUCGUAACAAGGUUUCUGUAGGUGAACCUGCUGAAGGAUCAUUG
This is a non-coding RNA of Amborella trichopoda, 1810 nucleotides long. Lineage: Eukaryota; Viridiplantae; Streptophyta; Magnoliopsida; Amborellales; Amborellaceae. The record is from Rfam.